AGAGUUUGAUCAUGGCUCAGAACGAACGCUGGCGGCGUGCUUAACACAUGCAAGUCGCGUGCGCAGUUCCCGUAGCAAUACGGGGAUGGGCGCACGGCGCACGGGUGCGUAACACGUGGGCAAUCUGCCCUCCGAUGGGGAAUAACCCCGCGAAAGCGGGGCUAAUUCCGCAUAACAUUCCGGGGACCUCGGUUCCUGGAUUCAAAGCAGUGAUGCGUCGGAGGAGGAGCCCGCGCCCGAUUAGCUAGUUGGUGAGGUAACGGCUCACCAAGGCAAUGAUCGGUAGCUGGUCUGAGAGGAUGGCCAGCCACACUGGAACUGAGACACGGUCCAGACUCCUACGGGAGGCAGCAGUGGGGAAUCUUGCGCAAUGGGCGAAAGCCUGACGCAGCGACGCCGCGUGGGGGAUGAAGCUUCUCGGAGUGUAAACCCCUUUCGACUGGGACGAAUGCCCGCAAGGGAGUGACGGUACCAGUAGAAGAAGCCCCGGCUAACUACGUGCCAGCAGCCGCGGUAAGACGUAGGGGGCCAGCGUUGUUCGGAAUUACUGGGUGUAAAGGGUUCGUAGGCGGUGUGGCAAGUUGGGAGUGAAAUCUCUGGGCUUAACCCAGAGGCUGCUUCCAAAACUGCUGUGCUUGAGUGUGGGAGAGGCGCGUGGAAUUGCAGGUGUAGCGGUGAAAUGCGUAGAUAUCUGCAGGAACACCCGUGGCGAAAGCGGCGCGCUGGACCACAACUGACGCUGAGGAACGAAAGCUAGGGGAGCAAACAGGAUUAGAUACCCUGGUAGUCCUAGCCCUAAACGAUCAGGACUUGGGGUGCCGCCCGUUCGGGCGUCGUCCCGGAGCUAACGCGUUAAGUCCUGCACCUGGGGAGUACGGUCGCAAGACUGAAACUCAAGGAAUUGACGGGGGCCCCGCACCAGCGGGUGGAACAUGUGGUUCAA
RNAcentral lists this ribosomal RNA (943 nucleotides) under uncultured bacterium. RNAcentral's name for it is "bacterial SSU rRNA". It matches the Rfam family "Bacterial small subunit ribosomal RNA", at positions 8 to 949 of the family's 1533-position model. The record is from RNAcentral.